This 253-nucleotide ribosomal RNA is filed under the name uncultured bacterium. Its description in RNAcentral is "partial 16S ribosomal RNA". It matches the Rfam family "Bacterial small subunit ribosomal RNA", at positions 524 to 776 of the family's 1533-position model. The record is from RNAcentral.
UACGUAGGGUGCAAGCGUUGUCCGGAAUUAUUGGGCGUGAGGAGCGUGUAGGCGGCCCGAUUAGUCCGCUGUGAAAGUCCAGGGCUCAACCCUGGAAUGCCGGUGGAUACUGUCGGGCUAGAGUCCGGAAGGGGCGAGUGGAAUUCCUGGUGUAGCGGUGAAAUGCGCAGAUAUCAGGAGGAACACCAAUGGCGAAGGCAGCUCGCUGGGACGUGACUGACGCUGAGACGCGAAAGUGUGGGGAGCGAACAGG